AGCGGGAUGGAGCAGUUAGGUAGCUCGUUGGGCUCAUAACCCGAAGGUCAUAGGUUCAAAUCCUAUUUUCGCAA
Molecule: transfer RNA, 74 nt
Filed under: Lactococcus lactis
Lineage: Bacteria; Bacillati; Bacillota; Bacilli; Lactobacillales; Streptococcaceae
Also listed under: 1 other name
Description: tRNA-Met
Rfam family: tRNA
About the family: Transfer RNA (tRNA) molecules are approximately 80 nucleotides in length.
Source: RNAcentral